This 222-nucleotide long non-coding RNA is filed under the name Musa acuminata (dwarf banana). RNAcentral describes it as "long non-coding RNA (MACU_LNC010245)". Lineage: Eukaryota; Viridiplantae; Streptophyta; Magnoliopsida; Zingiberales; Musaceae. The record is from RNAcentral.
UUGGCAGGUGCUCCAUUACUCGUCACACAGUUUGUAGUCUGUAGGAACACAAUCUUAAGUUCCCUCACCAUAAAUGUAAAGAGAGAAAUCCAAGCAACAUAAUAUUAUUAUGUGUUGUUCUUGUCUUUUGGAAUUCUUAUGUGUUGUUACAACUGCAAUUUACAUAAACAUGACAUGCUGCUUUUCUUCAAACUAUGCUAAGAUGGAAAUACUAGAUUUCCA